RNAcentral lists this long non-coding RNA (1242 nucleotides) under Felis catus (domestic cat). RNAcentral describes it as "lncRNA (ENSFCAG00000046326.2)". The record is from RNAcentral. Lineage: Eukaryota; Metazoa; Chordata; Mammalia; Carnivora; Felidae.
GCGUUUUCUGCAAUAACAUAUUUUCCAUUGAUGUAUUUUAGGUGUCUGUUUAACCGUAAUGCUCUUUGUGAUCAUGGUGCCAAAAUAUAAUGAAUUGGCCCAUUCUACCUAGAAAGGCCUCUCCACCAGUUUCUCUUGCCCCCUGUUAAAAUCCUCUUCCUCCUGCAGGAUCCAGCUCACACCAUAUCUCCUCCGGGAAAUGGUCCCAGAUCCUCCCAGGAGAUUUCUUCUCCGUCCCUCUCGCCACUUCCCAUUUCAGGUCUUCUGCCUCUGCUCCGAUCCGAGUUCACGUUAUACUCCAGCUAGUGUUAGUGCCUGUCUGCAAAAUUAGGCUAUGGGGCUUGGAGGACAAAGAUGUCCUCCUUUCUGGACUCCUGCCGCUCCUAGAAGAGUGUCUGGCACAGUAGAAGGGAGCCAUCACCUGAGGAUGAUGAACGGUGGAUGACCGCCAAGCCUUCCCAGCCCGACAGAAGCCCACCCAUUCCUGUCGGGGGUACUUCUGGAGCUCUUCCAGGUAGAGUAUUAAUACGCAAGAUCUCCUGCUGGCAGACUCAACAGAAUCUUUCUGGCCGUGAAGUGAAGUCCAAACCUGUAAAAGUGUACCCCCAGAAGAAGAGGAUGACAAAAGGCAGAAGGUGGACAGGAAAAGCCUGGUAAGCAGGAUCACUCUUAGAGUUACAUCUCCAUUGUUCUAUUUCCCCAGUGGGCAUUAUUAUGCAUUUCCCCUUAAGCAUGAGGCCAUGUUAUAGUCUGUGUUUAGCUUUUACUAGUUGCAUGGAUGAACUCACUUAAAAAUAUAGUAGGAUUACAUUCUUGUAUUGUUCAUUGCAGCUACAUAACUGAUAUUUUAUAUAUUGCAUCUUAAAUCUCCUUCUGGAAAUGUAACACACUUAUAACCUCUAUAAUUGGUGUCAUUGUUGACAUUUUUAUUUUCCCUGAAAACAGAUUUGUGAAGUUGUCUCCCCUUACCCACAGUUUCACUUUCUGUGGUUUCACUUACCCGUAGUGAACCACAAGUAGGCUGGAAGCGGAUGAUCCUCCUUGUGACAAAUCAGUGGAAGGUCAAAAACAGCCUAACUUUACGGUCGCAGUGCCUACGUCACUCACCUCAUGUCAUCUCAUCUGUCAGCAUUCUGUCAUCUCACAUCAUCACAAGGAGGGUGAGUAAGUACAAUAAGGUAUUCCGAGAAAGGGAGAGAGAAAGAGACCACGUUCAAAUCACUUCUACUAGAGUACGUCGUU